AACGCAUAUUGCACUCUUUGGUAUUCCGAAGAGUAUGCCUGUUUCAGUAUCAUAAAACUCUCAUAAAUUCAAAAGGCUUUUUUCGGCUUUUUUUUGAUUGUGGAUAUGGGCUUGCAAAUAUCAUGUACAUUUUUGCUCGUCUUAAAUGCAUUUCUUGAAUCAAAUUCAUUCGAUUUUGCUUAAUAGUUUUGGCCUCAGUGCUAAAUCUUUGGCUUUAUCAUUUGAAUAUUUUUGAUCAAGAUUUACGAUUACAUUGGCUUAAAAAAAGCCUCUCAAAAUUUGAUCUGAAAUCAGGUAGGACUACCCGCUGAACUUAA
This 317-nucleotide unclassified non-coding RNA is filed under the name Parvacoccum sp. Its description in RNAcentral is "partial contains 5.8S ribosomal RNA, internal transcribed spacer 2, and large subunit ribosomal RNA". The record is from RNAcentral. Lineage: Eukaryota; Fungi; Ascomycota; Leotiomycetes; Rhytismatales; Rhytismataceae.